RNAcentral lists this ribosomal RNA (253 nucleotides) under uncultured bacterium. RNAcentral's name for it is "partial 16S ribosomal RNA". It matches the Rfam family "Bacterial small subunit ribosomal RNA", at positions 524 to 776 of the family's 1533-position model. The record is from RNAcentral.
UACGUAGGGUGCGAGCGUUAAUCGGAAUUACUGGGCGUAAAGCGUGCGCAGGCGGUUCGUUGUGUCGGCGGUGAAAUCCCCGGGCUCAACCUGGGAAUGGCAUUUGGGACUGCAAGGCUGGAGUGUGGCAGAGGAGACUGGAAUUCCUGGUGUAGCAGUGAAAUGCGUAGAUAUCAGGAGGAACACCGGUGGCGAAGGCGGGUCUCUGGGCCGAUACUGACGCUGAGGAGCGAAAGCGUGGGGAGCGAACAGG